GGGGGCGUGGCGAAAUCGGUAAACGCAAGCGACUUAAAAUCGCUCGGCUUUGGCCUUACGGGUUCAAGUCCCGUCGCCCCCACCA
RNAcentral lists this transfer RNA (85 nucleotides) under Telmatospirillum sp. RNAcentral's name for it is "tRNA-Leu". It matches the Rfam family "tRNA". From Rfam's summary of the family: Transfer RNA (tRNA) molecules are approximately 80 nucleotides in length. Their secondary structure includes four short double-helical elements and three loops (D, anti-codon, and T loops). Lineage: Bacteria; Pseudomonadati; Pseudomonadota; Alphaproteobacteria; Rhodospirillales; Rhodospirillaceae. The record is from RNAcentral.